CCGACCAUAGCUCAGUUGGUAGAGCGGAGGACUGUAGAGUGAGUGUGGUAACCCUUACGUGGCUGGUUCGAAUCCGGCUGGCUGGA
Molecule: non-coding RNA, 86 nt
Organism: Ascaris suum (pig roundworm)
Lineage: Eukaryota; Metazoa; Nematoda; Chromadorea; Rhabditida; Ascarididae
Source: Rfam